AUGGGGACGCUGGAGCCUCUCUCAAACCUCACCUCUCUCACCCGAUUAAAGUUGUGCAAUUGUGGAGAGGAUCUAAGAUGCAAGGGCCUGGGCCCUCUCCUGGGACAUCUCAGAGAAUUUAUCGUCUUUGGCAGCCCAAGAGCAUUUGCUGGUUUGGAUCCCAAUCCUAGGCUUGUGUUGCAUGAUGAAGGAGAAGACCAGGAGCUGAAGCAGUUGCAGCUUGUUUCCCCUUUGAGUUCAUCCCAAGUACAUAUCCUCUGUACGGAUGAGGCCAUGGGUCUCCUCGCCGCACCCAUCUGCAGCUUGUUGUCUUCCUCCCUAACCUGCCUGCACUUUCACCUCCUCGCCUCCGUCCCUGAUAAGAUCGAGCGCUUCACCAAGGAGCAAGAGGAUGCCCUUCACCUCCUCGCGUCCCUCCAGUAA
Molecule: ribosomal RNA, 423 nt
Filed under: Triticum aestivum (bread wheat)
Lineage: Eukaryota; Viridiplantae; Streptophyta; Magnoliopsida; Poales; Poaceae
Description: partial small subunit ribosomal RNA
Source: RNAcentral